This 722-nucleotide ribosomal RNA is filed under the name uncultured Fusobacterium sp. RNAcentral's name for it is "bacterial SSU rRNA". It matches the Rfam family "Bacterial small subunit ribosomal RNA", at positions 28 to 776 of the family's 1533-position model. Lineage: Bacteria; Fusobacteriati; Fusobacteriota; Fusobacteriia; Fusobacteriales; Fusobacteriaceae. The record is from RNAcentral.
GAUGAACGCUGACAGAAUGCUUAACACAUGCAAGUCAACUUGGACUUCGGUUUGGGUGGCGGACGGGUGAGUAACGCGUAAAGAACUUGCCUCACAGAUAGGGACAACAUUUGGAAACGAAUGCUAAUACCUGAUAUUAUGAUUUUAGGGCAUCCUAGGAUUAUGAAAGCUAUAUGCGCUGUGAGAGAGCUUUGCGUCCCAUUAGCUAGUUGGAGAGGUAACGGCUCACCAAGGCGAUGAUGGGUAGCCGGCCUGAGAGGGUGAUCGGCCACAAGGGGACUGAGACACGGCCCUUACUCCUACGGGAGGCAGCAGUGGGGAAUAUUGGACAAUGGACCAAGAGUCUGAUCCAGCAAUUCUGUGUGCACGAUGAAGUUUUUCGGAAUGUAAAGUGCUUUCAGUUGGGAAGAAAAAAAUGACGGUACCAACAGAAGAAGUGACGGCUAAAUACGUGCCAGCAGCCGCGGUAAUACGUAUGUCACAAGCGUUAUCCGGAUUUAUUGGGCGUAAAGCGCGUCUAGGUGGUUAUAUAAGUCUGAUGUGAAAAUGCAGGGCUCAACUCUGUAUUGCGUUGGAAACUGUGUAACUAGAGUACUGGAGAGGUAAGCGGAACUACAAGUGUAGAGGUGAAAUUCGUAGAUAUUUGUAGGAAUGCCGAUGGGGAAGCCCAGCUUACUGGACAGAUACUGACGCUGAAGCGCGAAGCGUGGGUAGCAAACAGG